RNAcentral lists this ribosomal RNA (253 nucleotides) under uncultured bacterium. Its description in RNAcentral is "partial 16S ribosomal RNA". It matches the Rfam family "Bacterial small subunit ribosomal RNA", at positions 524 to 776 of the family's 1533-position model. The record is from RNAcentral.
UACGUAGGGUGCAAGCGUUGUCCGGAAUUAUUGGGCGUAAAGAGCUCGUAGGCGGUUUGUCGCGUCUGCUGUGAAAACGCGAGGCUCAACCUCGCGCCUGCAGUGGGUACGGGCAGACUAGAGUGCGGUAGGGGAGAUUGGAAUUCCUGGUGUAGCGGUGGAAUGCGCAGAUAUCAGGAGGAACACCGGUGGCGAAGGCGGUUCUCUGGGCAUGUUCUGACGCUGAGGAGCGAAAGUGUGGGGAGCGAACAGG